AGAGUUUGAUUAUGGCUCAGAACGAACGCUGGCGGCAGGCCUAACACAGUGCAAGUCGAGCGCGCCUUCGGGGUGAGCGGCGGACGGGUUAGUAACGCGUGGGAACGUACCCUUUGGUAGGGAAUAGCCACUGGAAACGGUGAGUAAUACCCUAUGAGCCCUUCGGGGGAAAGAUUUUAUCGCCAAAGGAUCGGCCCGCGUUAGAUUAGGUAGUUGGUGGGGUAAUGGCCUACCAAGCCUACGAUCUAUAGCUGGUUUUAGAGGAUGAUCAGCAACACUGGGACUGAGACACGGCCCAGACUCCUACGGGAGGCAGCAGUGGGGAAUCUUGGACAAUGGGGGCAACCCUGAAUUCCAGCCAUGCCGCGUGAGUGAAGAAGGCCUUAGGGUCGUAAAGCUCUUUCGCCUGUGAAGAUAAUGACGGUAGCAGGUAAAGAAACCCCGGCUAACUCCGUGCCAGCCGCCGC
Molecule: ribosomal RNA, 467 nt
Filed under: uncultured bacterium
Lineage: Bacteria
Description: bacterial SSU rRNA
Rfam family: Bacterial small subunit ribosomal RNA
Source: RNAcentral